Molecule: long non-coding RNA, 498 nt
Filed under: Homo sapiens (human)
Lineage: Eukaryota; Metazoa; Chordata; Mammalia; Primates; Hominidae
Description: non-protein coding lnc-DNAJC12-6:1
Source: RNAcentral
GUGGCACUGAAUUUCUAAAUACAAGAAAUUGCUUAGACAAUUGGUUUAGUAUCUGUAUAUGGGCAAUACUCUGUCCUGCAGUACUGAAUCGCUGAGAAAAGAGACCAUGUUUCUACUUUUAGAAGGAGAAUGAAAUCAACGCAAAGGAGAGAGAAACAAGCAGCAUGUCAGCUGAAACACCAAUCACAUUGAAUAUCGAUCCUCAGGAUCUGCAGGUCCAAACAUUCACCGUGGAGAAGCUACUGGAGCCUCUCAUAAUCCAGUUACCACACUUGUAAACUGUCCCCAGAACCCUUCCAGCAGGAAAAAAGGACGUUCGAAAAGAGCCAGUGUCCUUCUAGCUUCUGUGGAGGAAGCAACUUGGAAUUUAUUAGACAAGGGAGAGAAGAUUGCCCAGGAAGCUACAGUUUUAAAGGAUGAGCUUACGGCUUCACUUGAGGAAGUUCGCAAAGAAGUGAAGCUCUGAAAGUAUCAGCUGAGAGAUUUACAGAUGACCCC